Molecule: long non-coding RNA, 130 nt
Organism: Priapulus caudatus
Lineage: Eukaryota; Metazoa; Priapulida; Priapulimorpha; Priapulimorphida; Priapulidae
Exons: 3
Source: RefSeq, a predicted model, not a curated record
CAGAUACAGCAUCAUCGAUAUAGGAGGUAGCAACGCUCAGAGAGACGUGUUCAAUCAACUUCUUAUACACGCCGCAAUGAAGUCAGAUCUUUCAGAACAUCAGCGACUAGCGAGGUCGCUGUUGAUAGAA